This 83-nucleotide non-coding RNA is filed under the name Schistosoma japonicum. Lineage: Eukaryota; Metazoa; Platyhelminthes; Trematoda; Strigeidida; Schistosomatidae. The record is from RNAcentral.
CUCAUCGGCUGGAUGUAUCUGCAUCCCAAUGUGGAUCCCACUGUGAACAUCAACAUUGGGAUGCAGGUACUUUCAGUCGACGA